AGGUCUUGACAUCCCGAUGCUAUUUCUAGAGAUAGAAGUUACUUCGGUACAUCGGUGACAGGUGGUGCAUGGUUGUCGUCAGCUCGUGUCGUGAGAUGUUGGGUUAAGUCCCGCAACGAGCGCAACCCCUAUUGUUAGUUGCCAUCAUUCAGUUGGGCACUCUAGCGAGACUGCCGGUAAUAAACCGGAGGAAGUGGGGAUGACGUCAAAUCAUCAUGCCCCUUAUGACCUGGGCUACACACGUGCUACAAUGGUUGGUACAACGAGUUGCGAGUCGGUGACGGCGAGCUAAUCUCUUAAAGCCAAUCUCAGUUCGGAUUGUAGGCUGCAACUCGCCUACGUGAAGUCGGAAUCGCUAGUAAUCGCGGAUCAGCACGCCGCGGUCGAAUACGUUCCGGGCCUU
Molecule: ribosomal RNA, 403 nt
Filed under: uncultured Streptococcus sp.
Lineage: Bacteria; Bacillati; Bacillota; Bacilli; Lactobacillales; Streptococcaceae
Description: bacterial SSU rRNA
Rfam family: Bacterial small subunit ribosomal RNA
Source: RNAcentral